GAAGAAGUGUCUCAGAGAUAGCCAGGGUCUCUUGGCGAUGGAGGCUGCCAGAAACAGGCAACUUGCUUGUGUUUCUGUGGUGUGACCUUCUAUGGCUGUUUUAUGAACCUGCGUGUAUUCUCCAAGAAGUAGAGGGCAAUGUCCCACCCCCCAAAAGCAGAGAAAACACAGAAGGAUGAAGAACUGUGAAAAGGUCAUGGACUUUGGAGUUGGGCAGAAGUGAGUGUGAGCUGCAUUGCCUCUUCCUGAUGCAGAAGCUUUGUGGCCAGCACUGCGUCUGUUAGAUGAGGCUGCUAUUGAAGAGAAGAAGAGAACAUUCCACGAUACAGAAAGGUCUCCAGGGUCCUGGCUAGCCUAGUCCUCAUCGGCCCCACCAUUCUUCCCUUCUCUAAAUUCCACCAAUAAUGCUUUUUCAUGGGUUCUCUAAGCCAGUGGUUCUCAACUUGUGGGUUGUGACCCCUUGGGUGGAGAUGUUAACUAUCUCUUCAUAGGAGUCACAUAGCAGAUAUCCAUCCUAUCAGAUUACAUUUGCAUUACAAUUUAUAUCUGUUCCAAAAUUACAGCUAUGAAAAUAACUUUAUAGUCAGGGGUCAUGACAACAUGAGGAACUUUUAAAGGGUCACAGCAUUAUGAAGGUUGAGAACCACUGCUCUGGGCUCUAAGACUAAGGGUGCCUGGGGAUCUGCAUACUUCUCUCUAUUCCAUUCUU
Long non-coding RNA from Mus spicilegus (steppe mouse), 709 nucleotides. NCBI's taxonomy places the organism in Eukaryota, Metazoa, Chordata, Mammalia, Rodentia, Muridae. The record is from Ensembl.